RNAcentral lists this ribosomal RNA (394 nucleotides) under uncultured bacterium. Its description in RNAcentral is "partial 16S ribosomal RNA". It matches the Rfam family "Bacterial small subunit ribosomal RNA", at positions 338 to 729 of the family's 1533-position model. The record is from RNAcentral.
CCUACGGGCGGCAGCAGUGAGGAAUAUUGGUCAAUGGGCGUAAGCCUGAACCAGCCAAGCCGCGUGAGGGAUGAAGGUUCUAUGGAUCGUAAACCUCUUUUAUAAGGGAAUAAAGUGUGGGACGUGUCCUAUUUUGGAUGUACCUUAUGAAUAAGGAUCGGCUAACUCCGUGCCAGCAGCCGCGGUAAUACGGAGGAUCCGAGCGUUAUCCGGAUUUAGUGGGUUUAAAGGGUGCGUAGGCGGCCUUUUAAGUCAGCGGUGAAAGUCUGUGGCUCAACCAUAGAAGUGCAGUUGAAACUGGGGGGCUUGAGUAUGUUUGAGGCAGGCGGAAUGCGUGGUGUAGCGGUGAAAUGCUUAGAUAUCACGAGGAACCCCGGUGGCGAAGGCGGCCUGC